RNAcentral lists this ribosomal RNA (492 nucleotides) under uncultured bacterium. RNAcentral describes it as "partial 16S ribosomal RNA". It matches the Rfam family "Bacterial small subunit ribosomal RNA", at positions 29 to 507 of the family's 1533-position model. The record is from RNAcentral.
AGUGAACGCUGGCGGUAGGCCUAACACAUGCAAGUCGAACGGCAGCACAGUAAGAGCUUGCUCUUACGGGUGGCGAGUGGCGGACGGGUGAGGAAUACAUCGGAAUCUACUUUUUCGUGGGGGAUAACGCAGGGAAACUUACGCUAAUACCGCAUACGACCUACGGGUGAAAGCAGGGGAUCUUCGGACCUUGCGCGAUUGAAUGAGCCGAUGUCGGAUUAGCUAGUUGGCGGGGUAAAGGCCCACCAAGGCGACGAUCCGUAGCUGGUCUGAGAGGAUGAUCAGCCACACUGGAACUGAGACAUGGUCCGGACUCCUACGGGAGGCAGCAGUGGGGAAUAUUGGACAAUGGGCGCAAGCCUGAUCCAGCCAUACCGCGUGGGUGAAGAAGGCCUUCGGGUUGUAAAGCCCUUUUGUUGGGAAAGAAAAGCAGCAGGUUAAUACCCCGCUGUUCUGACGGUACCCAAAGAAUAAGCACCGGCUAACUUCGUG